RNAcentral lists this ribosomal RNA (311 nucleotides) under uncultured bacterium. RNAcentral's name for it is "bacterial SSU rRNA". It matches the Rfam family "Bacterial small subunit ribosomal RNA", at positions 28 to 329 of the family's 1533-position model. The record is from RNAcentral.
GAUAAACGCUGGCGGCGCACAUAAGACAUGCAAGUCGAACGGACUUAACCAUUAGUUUACUAUUGGAGCGGUUAGUGGCGGACUGGUGAGUAACACGUAAGCAAUCUGCCUAUCAGAGGGGAACAACAGUUAGAAAUGACUGCUAAUACCGCAUAAUGUAUUUUGACCGCAUGAUCGAAAUACCAAAGCUUUAUGUGCUGAAAGAUGGUCUCGCGUCUGAUUAGCUAGUUGGUGAGGUAACGGCUCACCAAAGGCGACGAUCAGUAGCCGGUCUGAGAGGAUGAACGGCCACAUUGGGGACUGAGAUACGG